This 301-nucleotide ribosomal RNA is filed under the name uncultured bacterium. RNAcentral's name for it is "partial 16S ribosomal RNA". It matches the Rfam family "Bacterial small subunit ribosomal RNA", at positions 509 to 808 of the family's 1533-position model. The record is from RNAcentral.
CAGUCGCCGCGGUAAUACGUAGGUCCCGAGCGUUGUCCGGAUUUAUUGGGCGUAAAGCGAGCGCAGGCGGUUUGAUAAGUCUGAAGUUAAAGGCUGUGGCUCAACCAUAGUUCGCUUUGGAAACUGUCAAACUUGAAUGCAGAAGGGGAGAGUGGAAUUCCAUGUGUAGCGGUGAAAUGCGUAGAUAUAUGGAGGAACACCGGUGGCGAAAGCGGCUCUCUGGUCUGUAACUGACGCUGAGGCUCGAAAGCGUGGGGAGCGAACAGGAUUAGAUACCCCCGUAGUCCCUGUCUCUUAUACC